CUUAUAUUAGCUGACUUUAACAGGGUUGACCCAUUCUCAAGGGUACGAUAUGCUCUUCAUUUUUGCAAUGGAGGUCAGAGAACUGCAUUAUCUCCUCUAUCUGUCAAUAGUAGGUCUUCUGAAUGUCUUGCCCACAGAUUGUUACAAGAUCAAGCUGGUUGGACCGACCAGAUGCUCUGGUAGAGUGGAGAUCAAUCAUGCCGACACUUGGGGAACAGUAUGUGAUGAUUACUGGAACUUGCUCAAUGCUG
Molecule: long non-coding RNA, 251 nt
Organism: Lampris incognitus (smalleye Pacific opah)
Lineage: Eukaryota; Metazoa; Chordata; Actinopteri; Lampriformes; Lampridae
Exons: 4
Source: RefSeq, a predicted model, not a curated record